CAGUCGCCGCGGGAAUACGUAGGGUGCAAGCGUUAAUCGGAAUUACUGGGCGUAAAGCGUGCGCAGGCGGUUUUGUAAGACAGAGGUGAAAUCCCCGGGCUCAACCUGGGAACUGCCUUUGUGACUGCAAGGCUAGAGUACGGCAGAGGGGGAUGGAAUUCCGCGUGUAGCAGUGAAAUGCGUAGAUAUGCGGAGGAACACCGAUGGCGAAGGCAAUCCCCUGGGCCUGUACUGACGCUCAUGCACGAAAGCGUGGGGAGCAAACAGGAUUAGAUACCCCUGUAGUCCCUGUCUCUUAUAU
RNAcentral lists this ribosomal RNA (301 nucleotides) under uncultured bacterium. Its description in RNAcentral is "partial 16S ribosomal RNA". It matches the Rfam family "Bacterial small subunit ribosomal RNA", at positions 509 to 809 of the family's 1533-position model. The record is from RNAcentral.